AAGUCUCACAAUAUAGGGGCUGCAUCACUCAACCCACAAUAUAUGCACCACUCAACACUGAAAACAGUGUAGAGGCCUGAGGUAGAGCCCUGGUAUAAUAAGACCUGCAGCAAACCUCAAUCAUUUUGAUAGCUUGAGCCCUCAACCCACAGUAGGAUAUAACUCUCUGAAAUGAUAGCAGGAUAAUGAGAUUAAAGCAACCUAAAAUAGCAAAUAAUUUAGAGGCUCCAUCACUCAACCCACACUCAAAGAAUCUGGGUAGCAACCUUGCAGUAUUGACACCUUUACAUGACGUUAAUCCCCAUAAAUCAAGUUUGAGCGAUGUCAUUAGGUGGCUCUUGUAAAAUAUUGGUUUGACUUUGUAAAUCAUUUUGCCCUCAACUUUUUUCUUUGAAUUUACAAUGGUAUUAAGAAUAUCAUAUGCCUACCUCAUGUUUACCAUUCUUUGUCUAAAUGUUUCAGGGGAUCUGUGUAUAAACAUAUUUAUGCUCUUAUUUCUUGUUAGUUGAGUAAAAAAUAAAUCAAAGAGCCAUGCAAAAGGAUUAUGGCAGUGCCACAGCAGUGCCCACUGGACAGCUUUGGCACCAUAGGCGCUCAAAUGAGAUUGGUAGCUUAGUUUUACCAUUUAUUUAUUGUAGCAAUCUCUUAUAGAGUGCUGAUAAAAAAAAAAUAAAAAAACAAUCUCUUGUAGAGAACUGUAGUUGUCCCUGUUGCUUGCAAAUGAUUUUUGAGGAAUGCUAGAGACCCACAAUUUACCUUAAAGACAUGGCAAGGGAGUUGGGCUUUAUAUGGUUUAGUUUGUGACAAAUGAAAAGUUGAUGUGUAACCUGCCAUGUCAUUGUGGGUAAAUAAGGGGAUGCUUUUUAGGGGUCUCAAUUGUUUUCCAUAUUUUUCAACUCUUAAAUAUUAUUAUUGGUUAAACUUAUGAAACUUGAUCAUUAGUACUCAUUGAGGAAAAACUAGCAUCUAUCUUAUUGUUGGGGCUCAAGGCCUCUUGAAAUCAUCACUAUUGUUUUUCCGAAUAAGACAUAGUUGGAAGUGGUUGUUUUUUAGGAACUUUUUAAUAGUUACCUACUACAAUAACAAAAUGGAUAAAAUCUUGAAAGGAGUGUAUGGCUUCUUCUAAAUGUCAGGUUUAAUGUUUUCUUCCUUUUUUUUUCCCUUUUGGCUGUGAGGUUACUCCUGAGGUUGGCAAAGAAAAUGGAAGCCAUUUACUUCUUAAUGAUCAAAACAAAUACAGAUCAAUGUUGACUCGCACAUAUUCAUCUAUUUGGAUGAUUGGGGGCUUUAUAUUCAUAAUCUACAUGGGCCAUCUCUAUAUUUGGGCCAUGGUCGUGGUUAUCCAAAUUUUUAUGAUAAAAGAGUUGUUCAAUCUACUCAGGAAAGGACACGAAGAAAGGGACCUCCCAGGAUUUAGGUUGUUGAAUUGGUAUGUUAAACCAGAUUCUUGUCAAUGUUCAACUGUCAACUGAAGUGUGGUGUUUAUCUAGGAGAGCUAUUCUUGGAGAAAGCUCAUUAGUUAAAUGAAUGACAACUAAUGAGCUUUUUCAAUUUAUUUAAAUUCUAAGUGAACCAAAUUUUGACACAAUUGUAUAAUUUGUAACAAACAUGUUGUAUCUUUCAACGGCCAGCUUGUCCUUCUUUGCCCUGUUUUUGGGUUUCACUAACAUCCAAAAUUUCUGUCAAUGAUCUCCAAGUGAGUUUGAUUGCUAUAUAUGACAAAUUGUUUCUGUUUGCUUUUAAUUUCAACAGGCAUUUUUUCUUCACUGCUAUGCUGUUUGUAUAUGGCCGCAUUCUCAACCAACGGCUUGCCAACACUAUUACUUCUGAGAAAUUCUUCUAUCAUCUUGUGAGCGGCUUUAUCAAGUAUUACAUGGUUACCUGCUAUUUCUUGUAUGUUGCAGUGGUGUUGAAUCAGGGUGUGCCUGGCGCAAGCUGAAUGUGCAGCGUGUCUUGGAUGAAUCGACUAAAAACCAUGUUAAAAUGCGGUCAAAGGAAGCUAAAAAGAAGCUAAGACCACGAAAGUCAGAAAUUUUUUGGAGGGAUGCAAAAUAUGGUCCAAGAAUUAAAGAACUUAGUUUUUUA
Camellia sinensis is the source of this 2085-nucleotide non-coding RNA. NCBI's taxonomy places the organism in Eukaryota, Viridiplantae, Streptophyta, Magnoliopsida, Ericales, Theaceae. The record is from RefSeq and is a predicted model, not a curated record.